Molecule: small nucleolar RNA, 75 nt
Filed under: Lichtheimia corymbifera JMRC:FSU:9682
Lineage: Eukaryota; Fungi; Mucoromycota; Mucoromycetes; Mucorales; Lichtheimiaceae
Description: A. fumigatus snoRNA Afu_300
Rfam family: A. fumigatus snoRNA Afu_300
Source: Rfam by way of RNAcentral
UCAUAUGAUGAUCAACUUCUAUGUUGGAAUUACCGCCUGAACAUUCAUGUUGAUAACAAAUGGCUGUUUCUGAUA